AUCUAUUUACAUAUAUAUAUAUAUUAAGAAACAUGGGUGUUGAAUCAUUUAAUUCUGAAAGAGCAUGCAGAACAAGGUAAAAUAUUUGGUAUUGUUAAAUACAUUAAAGAAAAUGGAUUAACCAGGAGAAUUUUUACAUAUAUAAACACAUGUAUAUUCGUUGCUUGUUAGUGCUUCACACUCCAGUCCAGUUGGUGGCGGUAAAUGCACCAAAAGUUGGUUUGCCAUUAAACGUUAUUAGAAGAAGAGUAAUGUUCGCACUGCGCUGUUGAAACUGAUCAGCGCUGCACUGUUUGCUGUUUGGUGGCGCCGGUAAACAUCUCUUCGCUGUCGAGUCCGUCACGAGCUGCGCCAAUGACCGAUCAGUGCUGCGAGAACACUUGAACACCGUGCUGUUUCAUCGGUUUCAUCGUACUUUUAGUGUGUUUGGCUUCCCAUAUAUAUAUAUACUGUAUAUAAACUGUGAUGUUAAAACCGAGGUAUAUACCGAACCGUCAGAUUUUUGUACCGUAGCACCCUUAAUGUAUAUAUUCAUGUCCAAUGUGUCCACAGCUAUAAUAGUCACCUAAAAAUCCUGACUUAGUUUUCCUCAGUGAUGUUUGAGAUUUGGCAUUUAAGACUGGAAUAGACAGUGUUGUUUCUGCUCUUCUCUGAGCUCUCUGUUUUUGUGUUGUCUUCAGGGAAUUGCAGCAUGGAAUAGUUCACCUCACUCUCUUGAUCCUUUGAGGGAAAUGACAAAUUUGUUUUCACUUUAUAUUUAUGAUGGUUAUAGCUGAGUACCAUAUGUAAAAUUAAACAAAUUAGAUGUAAUGUAAUACAAGAUUAAUACUGACAUCUGACACAGAGUUUGGUUGAGUAGGGAUAGCCAGAUGAAGCCUUCUGUGAUGUGCUGCAAGAAUCAAAAGUAAUGGGAUAAAGUAAAAUAAUGGUACACGUACAGAAAACAAUUGUACAGAAAUGACUAAACUUCCAAUAAUAUUUGAAUAAAUGGCCACUGCUGAACUCUCUCACUCUCACUCUCACCCUCUCUUUCUCUCUCCCUCUCCCUCAAAAAAAAAAGAUAAUGUAUUCAAUGUCUACAUAACAUUACAAUACUGAUUUUAUUCCGCAUUUUAGGAAACAAAAUGAAAACAACUUAAAUAUUUACUGCACCUGCACACAAUUCACAUUUUUUUUUCCUCAGUCUGUCACAUAGAAUUAUGUUCAUGAUUCCACUGAAGAGUAAAAUCACAAUAUUGCAGACAAACACCACAUGGAAGAGUGCUGAACAAUCUGAAUUAAGCAAAAUAUGAACAUAUAAAUUAUCUUUAUAGAACAAAUGAAAAUAAAUGUACUAUAUUUAUACACACACACACACACUUUGUAUAUAUGUAAUAAUGUGAUGGAUCUGUAAAUUAUCACUUGGUGCAAAAAUGUAAGUUAUCAGUUAGAUAUUUAGCAAGUACUACUUAUAAUGAUUUUAAUAAUAAUAAUAAUAAUAAUAAUAAUAUAACCACUUGGUUUAUAAUUAUUGUUUGGCAUUUUUUAUGUUUAGUUAACCAACAGAAAAUACAUAUACCUAUAAUUGUCAAAAGACUAGCAUUUACAUAAAACAAUAAUAAUAAUAAACAUAUGAAUGCUAUUUAUAGAACAAAUGAGAAAUAAUUUAUAAAUAAAAAUGUGAUGGAUCUAUAAAU
Long non-coding RNA from Carassius auratus (goldfish), 1676 nucleotides. The record is from Ensembl. Lineage: Eukaryota; Metazoa; Chordata; Actinopteri; Cypriniformes; Cyprinidae.